UACGUAGGGGGCAAGCGUUGUCCGGAAUCAUUGGGCGUAAAGAGCGUGUAGGCGGCCUGAUAAGUCGGUUGUGAAAGUCAAGGGCUCAACCCUUGAAUGCCGGCCGAUACUGUCAGGCUAGAGUCCGGAAGAGGCGAGUGGAAUUCCUGGUGUAGCGGUGAAAUGCGCAGAUAUCAGGAGGAACACCGAUGGCGAAGGCAGCUCGCUGGGACGGUACUGACGCUGAGGCGCGAAAGCGUGGGGAGCAAACAGG
Molecule: ribosomal RNA, 253 nt
Filed under: uncultured bacterium
Lineage: Bacteria
Description: partial 16S ribosomal RNA
Rfam family: Bacterial small subunit ribosomal RNA
Source: RNAcentral